UCAGAGAGCGAGAGCUGCCGCAGGCAGUUGGCAUGGUCUUGCGCGUUGAAGAAGAGUCGUGUGGCCGUGAAGGGCGUCGUUGGCGGAGUGUUGCAUCGGCGGAAAUCGAUUAACUGCGGUUGUUGGUCGGGAAUGGUAGAUCAAAAGUAUGAUUAGGUAGCUUUCAAGGGUGGUGCGAUUUUGUUCGGAUUGUUUCGCGAUUGUCGAUGAUUUCGUCGGAUGGAGAAUCGUGCAUGUUUCGACGGUGUUCACGGAGGACUUUGAAUUGUGCAGGUUUUUUUUAUGCUCGAUUUGGUCAUGGUGAGGCAAAGCUUUGGAGUUAUUUUGAUCAAGGUUUCGAUGCAGAUUUGCACCAAGCUGCUGGAACUGCUUUUUUGCUUUAGAAAUUUUCCAUGUAAUUUGUUUAUUUGUAAAGUUCUUGAAGUUUGGCAAUUGUAUGACAUUUAGAUCCUCUUUUUUGAGUGGAACUUUGAUUGUGAACUUGGAAUUGUAGUUGUAAAUGGCAAGGUAUUUGUAAUGAAUUUGAAAUCUGUAAUGGAAGUUGUACAU
This is a non-coding RNA of Vicia faba (fava bean), 549 nucleotides long. The record is from the annotation of a GenBank genome assembly. NCBI's taxonomy places the organism in Eukaryota, Viridiplantae, Streptophyta, Magnoliopsida, Fabales, Fabaceae.